UCUGCCUGGAUGCUGAAGAUGCUUUCCAUUCUUUGCUCGAAGCUGGGCAGCUCUGAGCUGCUGGUGCCUUCAAGCUGUUUGCCUGAGUGGCAGGUCAUAUCCUGCAGGGCCACACCGUUGGGUCAGAGGCCACAGCUUCUGAAGAUCUGUUGCCUCACAGUGAGCACUAUGUGCCUGUCACCUGAGCAUGGCAGCUGCUGCUCUAAUAACUAGGCACUGAAUCAGUUUCCCCAAAGCAGUGGUAGCUAAGAAAAUUUUUCUUUCGGAAGAGUUUCAGCUGUGGCAGGGGAGUCCUGUGCCCUUCCCAACGCCCCUGUUUUUGUCACCUUCCUAGGCUUGGAGAACACCCUGCCUGAGCGUCCCCGGGAAAAAGAAGAACCAGUGGUUCGAGAGACAGGUGAGGUGGUCGACUGCCACCUCAGUGACAUGCUGCAGCAGCUGCACAGUGUCAAUGCCUCCAAGCCCUCGGAGCGUGGGCUGGUCAGGCAAGAGGAGGCUGAGGAUCCUGCCUGCAUCCCCAUCUUCUGGGUCAGCAAGUGGGUGGACUAUUCAGAC
This 555-nucleotide small RNA is filed under the name Pongo abelii (Sumatran orangutan). RNAcentral's name for it is "retained intron". Lineage: Eukaryota; Metazoa; Chordata; Mammalia; Primates; Hominidae. The record is from RNAcentral.